Molecule: unclassified non-coding RNA, 343 nt
Filed under: uncultured Tulasnellaceae
Lineage: Eukaryota; Fungi; Basidiomycota; Agaricomycetes; Cantharellales; Tulasnellaceae
Description: sequence contains 5.8S rRNA gene
Source: RNAcentral
GAACGCACCUUGCACCCUCUGGUAUUCCGGAGGGUAUGCCCGGUUGAGUGUCAUGAAUAUCUCAACUCCAAUGUUUUGUCAAGGUCUUGUCGACUCGUCCUGCUGGCCUAGCGAGGCUGCUGCGACUGUUGCGAGGCUGAAGCGUUGGAGCUUGGACUUGAGCUCUGUUGGCCUUCUCAGGUUGACUGGCUAGAAAUGCAUCAGCGAUGACGUCCCUUGGGUCCAUCUCGGCGUGAUAAGUUGAUCGUCGCAAAGGUCCUUGGGUUGGCUCGCUCCUAAUGGUCUUCGGACAGCCUCUGACGUUUACACCUCAACUCGGGUAGGACUACCCGCUGAACUUAAG